RNAcentral lists this ribosomal RNA (488 nucleotides) under uncultured bacterium. RNAcentral's name for it is "bacterial SSU rRNA". It matches the Rfam family "Bacterial small subunit ribosomal RNA", at positions 40 to 518 of the family's 1533-position model. The record is from RNAcentral.
CGGCAGGCCUAACACAUGCAAGUCGAACGGUAACAGGAAGCAGCUUGCUGCUUGCUGACGAGUGGCGGACGGGUGAGUAAUGUCUGGGAAACUGCCUGAUGGAGGGGGAUAACUACUGGAAACGGUAGCUAAUACCGCAUAACGUCGCAAGACCAAAGAGGGGGACCUUCGGGCCUCUUGCCAUCAGAUGUGCCCAGAUGGGAUUAGCUUGUUGGUGGGGUAACGGCUCACCAAGGCGACGAUCCCUAGCUGGUCUGAGAGGAUGACCAGCCACACUGGAACUGAGACACGGUCCAGACUCCUACGGGAGGCAGCAGUGGGGAAUAUUGCACAAUGGGCGCAAGCCUGAUGCAGCCAUGCCGCGUGUAUGAAGAAGGCCUUCGGGUUGUAAAGUACUUUCAGCGGGGAGGAAGGUGUUGUGGUUAAUAACCACAGCAAUUGACGUUACCCGCAGAAGAAGCACCGGCUAACUCCGUGCCAGCCGCCGC